RNAcentral lists this ribosomal RNA (1455 nucleotides) under uncultured Flavobacterium sp. RNAcentral describes it as "bacterial SSU rRNA". It matches the Rfam family "Bacterial small subunit ribosomal RNA". The record is from RNAcentral. Lineage: Bacteria; Pseudomonadati; Bacteroidota; Flavobacteriia; Flavobacteriales; Flavobacteriaceae.
GUACUUGAUCCUGGCUCAGGAUGAACGCUAGCGGCAGGCCUAACACAUGCAAGUCGACGGAGCUUGCUCCUUUGAGACCGGCGCACGGGUGCCUAACGCGUAUGCAAUCUAGGUUGUACAGGGGAAUAGCCCAGAGAUUUUUGGAUUAAUGCCGGAUGGUAUAUUUGAAUGGCAUCAUUUAAAUACUAAAGAUUUAUCGGUACAAGAUGAGCAUGCGUCCCAUUACUUAGUUGGUAAGGUAACGGCUUACCAAGGCGAUGAUGGGUAGGGGUCCUGAGAGGGAGAUCCCCCACACUCCAACUGAGACACGGACCAGACUCCGGGAGGCAGCAGUGUAGGAAUAUUGGGCAAUGGAGGCAACUCUGGAUCAGCCAUGCCGCGUGCAGGAAGACGGUCCUAUGGAUUGCCUACUGCUUUUAUACGGGAAGAAACACCCCCUCGUGAACGACUUGACGGUACCGUAAGAAUAAGGAUCGGCUAACUCCGUUUCGCAGCCGCGGUAAUACGGAGGAUCCAAGCGUUAUCCCGGAAUCAUUGGGUUUAAAGGGUCUGUAGGCGCUGAUAAGUCAGUGGUGAAAUCUCCUAGCUCACCUAGGAUACUGCCAUUGAUACUGUAGGGCGGGAAUUAUUGUGAAGUGACUAGAAUAUGUAGUGUAGCGGUGAAAUGCUUAGAUAUUACAUGGAAUACCAAUUGCGAAGGCAGCAUACUAAUAGUGGAUUGACCUUGAUGGACGAAAGCGUGGGUAGCGAACAGGAUUAGAUACCCUGGUAGUCCACGGCGUAAACGAUCGAUACUAGCUGUUGGGAGCAAUCUCAGUGGCUAAGCGAAAGUGAUUAGUAUCCCACCUGGCGAGUACGAACGCAAGUUUGAAACUCAAAGGAAUUGACGGCCGCGCGCACAAGCGGUGGAGCAUGUGGUUUAGUUCGAUGAUACCCGAGGAACCUUACCAUGGCUUAAAUGUAGAUUGACAGAUAAGGAAACAGAUGGUUUCCGGACAAUUUACAACCUGCUGCAAGGUAGUGGUCAGCUCGUGCCGUGAGGUGCUAGGUUAAGUCCUAUAACGAGCGCAACCCCUGACGUUAGUUGCCAGCGAGUCAUGUCCCUAACUCUAACGAGAGUAGCAAACUGUGAGGAAGGUGGGGAUCUGACCAAAUCAUCACGGCCCUUACCGCUUGGGCUACACACGUGCUACAAUGGUAGGUACAGAGAGCAGCCACUACGCAAGUUGGAGCGAAUCUACAAUUCCUAUCUCAGUUCGGAUCGCAGUCUGCAACUCGGUUCCGUGAAGCUGGAAUCGCUAGUAAUCGGGCUUCAGCCAUGAUCCGGUGACUACGUUCCCGGGCCUUGUACACAGUUCCCGUCAAGCCAUGGAAGCUGGGGGUACCUGAAGUCGGUGACCGCAACCAGCUGCCUAGGGUAAAACUCGUAACUGGGCCUAAGUCGUAGCAGACCCA